AGAGUUUGAUCCUGGCUCAGGACGAACGCUGGCGGCGUGCCUAACACAUGCAAGUCGAGCGGGGACUUGUUGAGGAAGUCUUCGGAUGGAAUCGAUAAGUUCUAGCGGCGGACGGGUGAGUAACGCGUGAGCAACCUGCCCUCCACAGGGGGAUAACGCACCGAAAGGUGCACUAGUACCGCAUAAGACCACGUUUCUGACAUGGGGAUGAGGUCAAAGGAGCAAUCCGGUGGAAGAUGGGCUCGCGUCUGAUUAGCUAGUUGGUGAGGUAACGGCCCACCAAGGCGACGAUCAGUAGCCGACCUGAGAGGGUGAUCGGCCACAUUGGAACUGAGAGACGGUCCAAACUCCUACGGGAGGCAGCAGUGGGGAAUAUUGGGCAAUGGGCGAAAGCCUGACCCAGCAACGCCGCGUGAAGGAAGAAGGUUUUCGGAUCGUAAACUUCUAUCCUUGGUGAAGAUAAUGACGGUAGCCAAGAAGGAAGCCCCGGCUAACUACGUGCCAGCAGCCGCGGUAAUACGUAGGGGGCAAGCGUUGUCCGGAAUGAUUGGGCGUAAAGGGCGCGUAGGCGGCCAACUAAGUCUGGAGUGAAAGUCCUGCUUUUAAGGUGGGAAUUGCUUUGGAAACUGGAUGGCUUGAGUGCAGGAGAGGUAAGCGGAAUUCCCGGUGUAGCGGUGAAAUGCGUAGAGAUCGGGAGGAACACCAGUGGCGAAGGCGGCUUACUGGACUGUAACUGACGCUGAGGCGCGAAAGUGUGGGGAGCAAACAGGAUUAGAUACCCUGGUAGUCCACACUGUAAACGAUGAAUGCUAGGUGUAGGGGGUAUCGACCCCUUCUGUGCCGGAGUAAACACAAUAAGCAUUCCGCCUGGGGAGUACGGCCGCAAGGUUGAAACUCAAAGGAAUUGACGGGGGCCCGCACAAGCAGAGGAACAUGUGGUUUAAUUCGAUGAUACGCGAGGAACCUUACCCGGGCUUAAAUUGCAGAUGAAUUACGGUGAAAGCCGUAAGCCGCAAGGCAUCUGUGAAGGUGCUGCAUGGUUGUCGUCAGCUCGUGCCGUGAGGUGUCGGCUUAAGUGCCAUAACGAGCGCAACCCUUGUUGUCAGUUACUAACAGGUUUUGCUGAGGACUCUGACAAGACUGCCAUCGUAAGAUGUGAGGAAGGUGGGGAUGACGUCAAAUCAGCACGGCCCUUACGUCCGGGGCUACACACGUGUUACAAUGGGGGGUACAGAGGGCCGCUACCACGCGAGUGGAUGCCAAUCCCC
Molecule: ribosomal RNA, 1268 nt
Filed under: metagenome
Description: bacterial SSU rRNA
Rfam family: Bacterial small subunit ribosomal RNA
Source: RNAcentral